UACAGAGGUGGCAAGCGUUGUUCGGAUUUACUGGGCGUAAAGGGUGCGUAGGUGGCAAUGUGUGUCGGAUGUGAAAGCCCACGGCUUAACCGUGGAAUUGCAUGCGAAACUACAUCGCUAGAGUACUGGAGAGGAGAGCGGAAUUCCUGGUGUAGCGUUGAAAUGCGUAGAUAUCAGGAGGAACACCGGUGGCGUAGGCGGCUCUCUGGACAGAUACUGACACUGAGGCACGAAAGCAGGGGGAGCAAACAGG
RNAcentral lists this ribosomal RNA (253 nucleotides) under uncultured bacterium. Its description in RNAcentral is "partial 16S ribosomal RNA". It matches the Rfam family "Bacterial small subunit ribosomal RNA", at positions 524 to 776 of the family's 1533-position model. The record is from RNAcentral.